AGUAAGAAGAGUUGGGACUACAAAUUCGUAACAAUAAAUAUUUUAUAUUUUACUACAAUGAAAAUUAUUUCCAUAUUAUCCUUAGCCGUUUGUGUUGUAGCUACAAUGGCUAUGCCAUCAAAGGUCUCAACAACGUAUAAUGAUAAUUAUCCGGCUUUGAAAGAUGAACUGUGCAACGACCACGACUAUCGAACAGACAACUUCAAUUUAUUUGGGCAACUAAUUUAUCUACUUUUGACAUUACCAGACGAAGAUAACUAUACGAAAUUCAAUUGCCGUAAUUACUUAAGUAUUUCAAGAAAAGCACUGGCUGUACUUCUUCGACUUAGAAAUAUUGACAGAGUGAACUAUGAAAAAUUCGACUCCCAUCCCAAGAGAACUUUAGAUAGUAUUGGUGGUGGACAUUUAAUAAAAAGAAGCGAAAAUUUCGGCUUUUAAAUAAAUAUUUAAUUAAUUUUAUAUCUUAAGAAAUGCUGGGAAUAAGUUUGUCUGUAAAAUUUAUUUGUUCAUAAGUGCAUGCACUUACCAAUAAUGUUAAUGUUUUUUCUCUACAAAGCUGACUUUAAAGACAUGAAUCUGGACAAUAUAUACGGAUACGUAAGGAUGCUUAUGGAUUUGGACAACAGGAUCCGGCGAUGCCUCUUAUCAAACUCUU
RNAcentral lists this unclassified non-coding RNA (655 nucleotides) under Bactrocera latifrons. RNAcentral describes it as "uncharacterized LOC108970569, transcript variant X1". The record is from RNAcentral. Lineage: Eukaryota; Metazoa; Arthropoda; Insecta; Diptera; Tephritidae.